CCUACGGGAGGCUGCAGUGGGGAAUAUUGGACAAUGGGGGGAACCCUGAUCCAGCCAUGCCGCGUGUGUGAAGAAGGCCCUCGGGUUGUAAAGAACUUUCAGUGAGGAAGAACGCCUGGUGGUUAAUACCCAUCAGGAAAGACAUCACUCACAGAAGAAGCACCGGCUAACUCCGUGCCAGCAGCCGCGGUAAUACGGAGGGUGCGAGCGUUAAUCGGAAUUACUGGGCGUAAAGCGCGCGUAGGUGGCUUGAUAAGCCGGUUGUGAAAGCCCCGGGCUCAACCUGGGAACGGCAUCCGGAACUGUCAAGCUAGAGUGCAGGAGAGGAAGGUAGAAUUCCCGGUGUAGCGGUGAAAUGCGUAGAGAUCGGGAGGAAUACCAGUGGCGAAGGCGGCCUUCUGGACUGACACUGACACUGAGGUGCGAAAGCGUGGGUAGCAAACAGGAUUAGAUACCCCUGUAGUC
RNAcentral lists this ribosomal RNA (465 nucleotides) under Vreelandella stevensii. RNAcentral's name for it is "partial 16S ribosomal RNA". It matches the Rfam family "Bacterial small subunit ribosomal RNA", at positions 338 to 795 of the family's 1533-position model. The record is from RNAcentral. Lineage: Bacteria; Pseudomonadati; Pseudomonadota; Gammaproteobacteria; Oceanospirillales; Halomonadaceae.